UGGAACGAAACGACUGAUCAUGUAUAUUGCACUGGGCUGAGCUGUCACAAGAAAAGGCUCUGACAAUCAUAGCGUAAGACCGGUGUGACAGGACGAUGAAAUAAUGAAAGUAUCCUGGCAACCGUAUUUUCCUACCGACUGUGGCCUGCAACACUGUGACGACCGUCAGCUACAUUUUUCUGAAUUCAGGAGGUCUCUGGCAAGACCACUACUGAGAUCAUCCUCACCUUUCUACCACUCUAUGCCUGCACCCAGAUGGCUGAAAGUUGCUGAAGAAAAUCUUGCGGCCACAAGGACUAGUCACACUUUAGUAGAAUGAAUGACAAAAUUCUCAAACAGGCAUGAAAGAUCCUCCCAUAUUCCACGGGAACUAUUUCACAUUUUCUCCUUCCUCAAACUUCUGUGAUAAAACUCAGCUGAUGACUUCACGCUUCCUUAGACAAGAUACAACCAGAUGAGAAUCAUCUCUUCCUGUACCCAGGAAUUUAUUUUUUGUUACUAUUUUGUCCCUUGUGCCUGGUACAUUUUUGAAUAAAUACAUUGAGCUAAGUUAAAUGAAACUCUUGUUAUAAUGGAAAAAAAAAUCCCAGUUUCUAUCCAAAGCCAACCAUCGCUUACGUACAUAAGAACUUCAUUCUUGUAGUUACACCCUCUCUCUCCUACAUCCUCAGUAUUUCCCUCUGAAAUAGGUCAUUCCUAGCAGCAAGACAGAGUACCUCUCAUUCUAAAAGGAAUAAGUAAAUAUUUCCCUUGGCCUCUUGAACUCUUCCAGCCACUGCCCCUCCUCUCUGUUCACCUUCACAGCAAAACUCCUUAAAAGAGUUGUUUAUGUUAAAUGUCUCUAUUUUCACACUUCUAUUCUCCCUUCAGCUGACUCAAAGCUAGCUUCUAUAUCUAUUCUUCCACUGGAAAAAUCAUUAAUUUGUGUCCACCACAACUUCCAUUUGAUUUGGUCAAGCUAAGUACUUGAAAUAAAUUCUAACACAGGCACUGCUAAUACCUGUUCUGCAGAUAAGCAAACUGAGGCUUAAAGAGUUUGCCCAAGGUUGCACAACUAAUGAAUGAUAGAUCUAGAACUCCAACCCUGGCAGUCUGACACCAAGCUCUGUGUCCUUAACUAUGAUGGUAUAAAUACCUACUUGUCUCUCCCCCACCUACUAGACUGGGAAUCGCACUUAUAGGCUAUCACAUAACUCAGUACGUCUCCUUCACAGUAUAUGCAUCACAGUUUGUAAUUAUAUACUUAUUUUUUUAUAUUUUAACAUCUGCUUUUCCUACUAAUCUGGAAGCUCCUGGAGGCAGAAGGAAUUACCUCUCUUUUGGUUGUUGUUAUCUCUAGCGUGAGACAGAUUUUGAAUGAAUGAAUGGGCUAAAAUGAAUUUGAUUAAUUUUCUUGGGGUAACUUCUAAUACAAAUGAUGUAUAUGCAAUAUGUCCCAAUAUGAUAGCCCGGGUAGAGUUUUGACACGUGUAUACACUCAUGUGCUCACCAUCCCACUCAGGAUUAAAACAUUCACAUUACCCCAGUAAGUUCCUUCAUGCUCCUCUCCAAUCAAUACUCCCUACCCUGCAACCCUUGAUCUCAUGUAUUUCACUACCAUGCAGGUUUGCCAGUUUAGAAAUUCAUGCAAAUGGAAUCAUAUAUCUUUUGUCUCAGACAUUUUCCACUUAACAUUAUAUCUGUGAGAUUUUUCCACGUUGUUUUACAUAUCAGCAGUUUGAUGCAUUUUAUUUCUGUGUAGUACAACCAUUGUAUAAAUAUAUGACUAUUUGUUUAUGUGUUCAUCAGCUGAUGGACAUUUGGCUUGUUUCUAAUUUGGG
This 1820-nucleotide long non-coding RNA is filed under the name Equus caballus (horse). Its description in RNAcentral is "lncRNA (ENSECAG00000057084.1)". The record is from RNAcentral. Lineage: Eukaryota; Metazoa; Chordata; Mammalia; Perissodactyla; Equidae.